RNAcentral lists this unclassified non-coding RNA (287 nucleotides) under Hevea brasiliensis (rubber tree). The record is from RNAcentral. Lineage: Eukaryota; Viridiplantae; Streptophyta; Magnoliopsida; Malpighiales; Euphorbiaceae.
UGCAGUUACUGGUGAAACUGUAAUAUGGGUUCUCACUAUUUUGACAGGUAGAAGCGUGGUUUGGCUCUGGUGAAGGAGGGUACUUCUUGCCUAGAACCUCAUAAAAUGAUUUCUCAGCGGCUUGAAGAUCUAAGGAAUCUUGAAGCAUACAAGUCUUAUCCUCCAUAUCUUCUUCCAUAAGCAUCUGGCUUACGUAUCUCAAAACUGCAUCAGAAAAGUCACAAUCUUCUGGGGAAUCCUCUUCAUGAACCGCAUUAGAAUUUGGGGUUACUUUACUUGACUUUGGA